RNAcentral lists this unclassified non-coding RNA (355 nucleotides) under Saccharomyces cerevisiae (brewer's yeast). Its description in RNAcentral is "partial miscellaneous RNA". The record is from RNAcentral. Lineage: Eukaryota; Fungi; Ascomycota; Saccharomycetes; Saccharomycetales; Saccharomycetaceae.
AAGAAAUUUAAUAAUUUUGAAAAUGGAUUUUUUUGUUUUGGCAAGAGCAUGAGAGCUUUUACUGGGCAAGAAGACAAGAGAUGGAGAGUCCAGCCGGGCCUGCGCUUAAGUGCGCGGUCUUGCUAGGCUCGUAAGUUUCUUUCUUGCUAUUCCAAACGGGGAAAAAAUUUCUGUGCUUUUGUUAUAGGACAAUUAAAACCGUUUCAAUACAACACACUGGUGGAGUUUUCAUAUCUUUGCAACUUUUUCUUUGGGCAUUCGAGCAAUCGGGGCCCAGAGGUAACAAACACAAACAAUUUUAUUUAUUCAUUAAAUUUUUGUCAAAAACAAGAAUUUUUCGUAACUGGAAAUUUUA